AGUUUUAUUCUUGCUAAAAUAUUUAUUUUUUGGAUAUUUUUACAUGUAAAUUCUUGUGUGGAUAAAUUAUUUCUUAAUGAUUAAUUAGUUUAAUCGCAGUAUGUGAUAUUAAUGAUCAAAGGAAUUUGGAAUUAGUAAUUUGAAGUGUGAUUGGUUAAAGUCGUGCCAGCUACCGCGGUUAUACGAAAGAUAGAAAUAAAUGUUAUUGGUUGGGAGUUAAUUUAUUAAUUAUUAAGAUGUUUUGAAAUUUUAGAAGGUAGAAUUACUAAAUUUUGUGACAUUUUAAAUUUAAAAAAUGAAACUUUGAAAAUUAAAGUAGAGACUAGGAUUAGAUACCCUAUUAUUUUAAUUGUAAAAAUUUAAGGCUUGAGUAGUAUUAGUUAAGAACUUGAAACUCAAAGAAUUUGGCGGUGUUUUAGUCUUUUCAGAGGAAUCUGUUCUGUAAUUGAUAAUACACAUUAUAUUUUACUUGAUUUUGUAGAAUCAGCUUGUAUACCGCCGUUAUAAGAUUAUCUUUUUAGAGAUAAAAUUUUCUGGAAAUUAUUGUUGAAUUAUAUUUCAGGUCAAGGUGCAGCUAAUAAUUAAGAGUGAAAUGGAUUACAAUAAAUAUAUUUAAACGGAAUUUUUAUUGAAAAAUAAGAAGGAAGGUGGAUUUGAAAGUAAUUUUGUUAUAUUAUGAUAAAGUGAUUUAAGCUCUAAAACAUGUACACAUCGCCCGUCGCUCUCAUUAGUAAAGUGAGAUAAGUCGUAACAUAGUAGUUGUACUGGAAAGUGUAGCUAGGAAGU
RNAcentral lists this non-coding RNA (786 nucleotides) under Ducetia japonica. Its description in RNAcentral is "12S ribosomal RNA". The stretch from base 369 to 780 matches the Rfam family "Microsporidia small subunit ribosomal RNA", at positions 752 to 1303 of the family's 1311-position model. Lineage: Eukaryota; Metazoa; Arthropoda; Insecta; Orthoptera; Tettigoniidae. The record is from RNAcentral.